UUGUCAGUCCGUCUCCCCACAAAUCCAUCUUUGUCUAUCCUGGCAUGCCAUUUCAAGAGAUGCCCAAAAACCAGAAUACAACAGCAAGCUUCCACCAUUCAUCAGAUCAAAUCAAAGAUCAACAGCCAACCAUUUAUCUUCAUUCACAGGUGUAAAACCCUCAAAAUCAAAAUGAUUGUCCCAGUAAGUGGAAUGUGCCAGCUUACUCAAAUAAUACUUUCGAAGGAGACCAGGGUUUGUUCAAUAUACUUGGGCUUGGGGCAUGAAGCAGUUGCAAGGCCUUGAAGCAAUUU
RNAcentral lists this unclassified non-coding RNA (293 nucleotides) under Hevea brasiliensis (rubber tree). Lineage: Eukaryota; Viridiplantae; Streptophyta; Magnoliopsida; Malpighiales; Euphorbiaceae. The record is from RNAcentral.